UACGUAGGGGGCAAGCGUUAUUCGGAAUUAUUGGGCGUAAAGGGCGCGUAGGCGGCUUGGCAAGUGGAUGGUGAAAUCCCACGGCUCAACCGUGGAACUGCAUCUGAAACUGUUCGGCUCGAGUCCGGGAGAGGGUAGUGGAAUUCCCAGUGUAGCGGUGAAAUGCGUAGAUAUUGGGAGGAACACCGGUGGCGAAGGCGGCUACCUGGACCGGUACUGACGCUGAGGCGCGAAAGCUAGGGUAGCAAACAGG
RNAcentral lists this ribosomal RNA (253 nucleotides) under uncultured bacterium. RNAcentral's name for it is "partial 16S ribosomal RNA". It matches the Rfam family "Bacterial small subunit ribosomal RNA", at positions 524 to 776 of the family's 1533-position model. The record is from RNAcentral.